UUCCGGUUGAUCCCGCCGGAGGUUACUGCUAUCGAGGUUCGACUAAGCCAUGCGAGUCGAAUGUAGCAAUACAUGGCGAACUGCUCAGUAACACGUGGACAACCUGCCCUUAGGACGGGGAUAAACCCGGGAAACUGGGUAUAAUACCCGAUAGGUCUCGAUUGCUGGAAUGCAUCGAGAUUUAAAGCUCCGGCGCCUAAGGAUGGGUCUGCGGCCUAUCAGGUAGUAGUGGGUGUAGCGUACCUACUAGCCUACGACGGGUACGGGUUGUGAGAGCAAGAGCCCGGAGAUGGAUUCUGAGACACGAAUCCAGGCCCUACGGGGUGCAGCAGGCGCGAAAACUUUACAAUGCUGGCAACAGCGAUAAGGGAACCUCGAGUGCCAGGUUACAAAUCUGGCUGUCGAGAUGCCUAAAAGGCAUUUCAUAGCAAGGGCCGGGCAAGACCGGUGCCAGCCGCCGCGGUAACACCGGCGGCUCGAGUGGUAACCGUUAUUAUUGGGUCUAAAGGGUCUGUAGCCGGCCGGAUAAGUCUCUUGAGAAAUCUGGCAGCUUAACUGUCAGGCUUUCAGGAGAUACUGUCUGGCUCGAGGCCGGGAGAGGUGAGAGGUACUUCAGGGGUAGGGGUGAAAUCUUGUAAUCCUUGAAGGACCACCAGUGGCGAAGGCGUCUCACCAGAACGGACCUGACGGCAAGGGACGAAAGCUAGGGGCACGAACCGGAUUAGAUACCCGGGUAGUCCUAGCCGUAAACGAUACUCGCUAGGUGUCGGCCACGGUGCGACCGUUGUCGGUGCCGUAGGGAAGCCGUGAAGCGAGCCACCUGGGAAGUACGGCCGCAAGGCUGAAACUUAAAGGAAUUGGCGGGGGAGCACCACAACGG
This 880-nucleotide ribosomal RNA is filed under the name Methanosaeta sp. enrichment culture clone AA2. Its description in RNAcentral is "bacterial SSU rRNA". It matches the Rfam family "Archaeal small subunit ribosomal RNA", at positions 1 to 887 of the family's 1478-position model. Lineage: Archaea; Methanobacteriati; Methanobacteriota; Methanomicrobia; Methanotrichales; Methanotrichaceae. The record is from RNAcentral.